This 251-nucleotide ribosomal RNA is filed under the name uncultured prokaryote. Its description in RNAcentral is "partial 16S rRNA". It matches the Rfam family "Bacterial small subunit ribosomal RNA", at positions 525 to 775 of the family's 1533-position model. The record is from RNAcentral.
ACGAACCGUACAAACGUUACUCGGAAUCACUGGGCUUAAAGGGUGCGUAGGCUGUCCGGUAAGUUGGGUGUGAAAUACCUCGGCUCAACCGAGGAAUUGCGCCCAAAACUGUCGGACUCGAGGGAGACAGAGGUGAGCGGAACUUAGGGUGGAGCGGUGAAAUGCGUUGAUAUCCUAAGGAACACCAGGGGCGAAAGCGGCUCACUGGGUCUCUUCUGACGCUGAGGCACGAAAGCUAGGGGAGCGAACGG